Molecule: small nuclear RNA, 161 nt
Organism: Suncus etruscus (white-toothed pygmy shrew)
Lineage: Eukaryota; Metazoa; Chordata; Mammalia; Eulipotyphla; Soricidae
Product: U1 spliceosomal RNA
Exons: 1
Source: RefSeq, a predicted model, not a curated record
AUAUUUACCUGAACGGGGAGAUACCAUAAUCAUGAAGAUAGUUUUUUCAGGGCGAGGCCUAUCCAUUUCACUAUGAAUGUACUGAAGCCUACAAUUUUCCUAAACUUGGAAAACUUGACUGCAUAAUUUGAGAUAGGGGACUGCAUUAACUCUCUCCGCUG